Molecule: small nuclear RNA, 166 nt
Organism: Saimiri boliviensis boliviensis (Bolivian squirrel monkey)
Lineage: Eukaryota; Metazoa; Chordata; Mammalia; Primates; Cebidae
Gene: U1
Rfam family: U1 spliceosomal RNA
About the family: U1 is a small nuclear RNA (snRNA) component of the spliceosome (involved in pre-mRNA splicing). Its 5' end forms complementary base pairs with the 5' splice junction, thus defining the 5' donor site of an intron.
Source: Ensembl
AUAUUUAAAUGCUGAGUCAGCUCUUGUAAGCACCUUCAUGUUAGGAAUUUGCCUCAAUUCCUUACCAUUGCACUUCGUAUGUGCUGACCCCUGCGAUUUCCCCAAAUGUGAGAAACUCGAUUGCAUAAUUUGUGGUGGUGGGGGACUGCUUUUGCACUUUCCCCUG